GAGUUUGAUCAUGGCUCAGAGUGAACGCUGGCGGCAGGCCUAACACAUGCAAGUCGAACGGCAGCACAGUCCCGCAAGGGAUGGGUGGCGAGUGGCGGACGGGUGAGGAAUACAUCGGAAUCUACCUUGUCGUGGGGGAUAACGUAGGGAAACUUACGCUAAUACCGCAUACGACCUACGGGUGAAAGCGGCGGACCGCAAGGCGUCGCGCGAUUGGAUGAGCCGAUGUCCGAUUAGCUAGUUGGCGGGGUAAGAGCCCACCAAGGCGACGAUCGGUAGCUGGUCUGAGAGGAUGAUCAGCCACACUGGAACUGAGACACGGUCCAGACUCCUACGGGAGGCAGCAGUGGGGAAUAUUGGGCAAUGGGGGCAACCCUGAUCCAGCGACGCCGCGUGGGUGACGAAGGCCUUC
This 412-nucleotide ribosomal RNA is filed under the name uncultured Gammaproteobacteria bacterium. Its description in RNAcentral is "bacterial SSU rRNA". It matches the Rfam family "Bacterial small subunit ribosomal RNA", at positions 9 to 419 of the family's 1533-position model. Lineage: Bacteria; Pseudomonadati; Pseudomonadota; Gammaproteobacteria. The record is from RNAcentral.